AGUAAAAACAUAAGGACUUCAACCACCCUCUGCAGCUCCAGUCCUCAGGGAUCAUACACGGCAUGGGGGGAAACCUCCUGUGUGCAAGAGACAGAUGCUAAAAUGUUGGGCUCACUCCUUUCAAACACAAGGACCACCUCUCAUCUUGCCAGUUCCCAGUCCAAAGGGUCCACUUUGAUCCAGCAAGAAGUAGUGUCAUGAGCAAAGCAUAUAGAAGGGAUCCAGGCCUCAUGUCAGUACACAGCCCCACCAGUCAGUGCACAAGGAAUGUUCAUAGGUGAAAAAUGUAUUCUAGAACCUACUGCCCCUUCCUAUGCUGCCCCAACCAAAACAAGCUGAAAGAGAAGAAGGUGAAUCAAGACAAACACAAGCAUGGAAUGAAAGAGCAGAAGGAGUCCUGCUCCACAGAGUGUGUGCUUAAGGAAAGUCUGAACUUCAAGGAGACCUUCUCUGGUGUUGGAAUUUUCAGGUUAUUUCCCGGGUUCAGAGAGCUGUUAUGUGAUUUGACAGGGAAGAAAAAGCAGGUAUUAAUUUUUUUUUAUCCCUGAUUAUCCAGUGUUGG
Pelodiscus sinensis (Chinese soft-shelled turtle) is the source of this 562-nucleotide non-coding RNA. NCBI's taxonomy places the organism in Eukaryota, Metazoa, Chordata, Testudines, Trionychidae. The record is from RefSeq and is a predicted model, not a curated record.